Molecule: long non-coding RNA, 587 nt
Organism: Podarcis raffonei (Aeolian wall lizard)
Lineage: Eukaryota; Metazoa; Chordata; Lepidosauria; Squamata; Lacertidae
Exons: 2
Source: RefSeq, a predicted model, not a curated record
UCAUUUUAUUUUUGAGGAAGAGGAGAAAAAAUGAGACACUAGAAAAAGUGUUGUGCUAAUCCAAGAAGGAAUAAAGAGAGAAUAAGAACAAAAGAACAUUGAAGAAGAAAAGCAGAAGAGAAAGUGCUGUCCUGUGUGGGCAGGGAAAGGAGGAACCACCUAGGGCCCCAAGACUUGUGCUUGAUAUAUCCAGCAUAUUGGAUGUCUCAUCACUCUGGCUGAGAACAGCUGCUACACUCUGUCAAUGUAUGGGAAGUUUACUCCAAAGGUGUUCAACAGCCUGAGAGGCCACUGAAGCAACAUGAUGCAGAUGUUGAAAGCAACAAGGUGAUGAUUUGAGCAGAGGAACUCUACAAUAGAGAGAGCUCCAAAACAAUGCAGUUCUUAGAGAAAGCAGAGAGAGAGAGGACAUGUCAAUUGGAGAAGUAAGUCUGGUCACAGGCCAAAGGCAGAAGACACUGGACUUAGUGAGGUGAUCUGCAUGGCGAAAGUCAACAAGGAACAAGACAGGGAAGUUGUCAAGUGCAAAUGGGUAGCACCUAUCUUUGUAUUAAUGGGACUUGAUUAUUAAAAAGCAUAACAAGGUU